AUUGAACGCUGGCGGCAGGCCUAACACCUGCAAGUCGAACGAGUGGCGGACGGGUGAGUAAUGUCUGGGAACCUGCCUGAUGGAUGGGGAUAACUACUGGUAACGGUAGCUAAUACCGCAUACCAUCAGAUGUGCCCAGAUGGGAUUAGCUAGUUGGUGGGGUAACGGCUCACCAGGGCGACGAUGCCUAGCUGGUCUGGGAGGAUGACCAGCAACACGGGAAAUGAGAAACGGUCCAGACUCCUACGGGAGGCAGAAGUGGGGAAUAUUGCACAAUGGGCGCAAGCCUGAUGCAGCAAUGCCGCGUGUAUGAAGAAGGCCUUCGGGUUGUAAAGUACUUUCAGCGGGGAGGCGUUACCCGCAGAAGAAGCACCGGCUAACUCCGUGCCAGCAGCCGCGGUAAUUC
This 406-nucleotide ribosomal RNA is filed under the name uncultured bacterium. Its description in RNAcentral is "partial 16S ribosomal RNA". It matches the Rfam family "Bacterial small subunit ribosomal RNA", at positions 30 to 526 of the family's 1533-position model. The record is from RNAcentral.